RNAcentral lists this long non-coding RNA (531 nucleotides) under Meleagris gallopavo (turkey). RNAcentral's name for it is "lncRNA (ENSMGAG00000017937.1)". Lineage: Eukaryota; Metazoa; Chordata; Aves; Galliformes; Phasianidae. The record is from RNAcentral.
AUGCUUCAGUCUGAAACCUCUGUACUCAAGUGGAAAGUCCUACAGUUACAGGUAUUUUUUUUUUUCUUUUUCUGUUUUUCUUUUUCAACAAAGAAAAUUGGAGCGGAUCUGGGCUGUUCAGAUUUUGGUUUGCAUUCUGCUCUCAUUCCUACUCCCACAGCUGGCUUGGGCAGCGCAGCCCCACAGUGCAGUGCCAUUCCCAGUGCUGGAGGUGUGGGCACAGCAGUGGUCCCACCGCCCACACCAGGGCUGAGCUGGGAGCUGGAACCCUGCCUGGAGCAGCUCUCUCCUUCUGCACCACCUGCUGCCCCAGUGCUGCUGUCUUCCCUGACACAGAUCACAAAGAGAGAGCGUAAAAGCAGCCUUACCUCUUCAGGCAGUGACCCAGCUGGCUCAGCGCUGCAGGCAGGAGGAAGUGCGCCGGCUGCAGCACCGCACCAGCCUUGUUUACACCAGCGUGGCAACCUGCGUGACAUCACGGCCUGCCCAAAGGAGUGCAACCAGGAAGCGAAAAGCAGAUGUGGACGUUGA